GACGAACGCUGGCGGCGUGCCUAAUACAUGCCAGUCGAACGGACAGGCCCUGCUUUUGCUGCGUUCUCGAUUGGCGAACGGGUGAGUAACACGUGUGUAACCUCCCCCUAUCUUUGGGAUAACUUCAGGAAACACCGGCUCUUAUCGGGUAGGAUCUCCUGCUGCAUGUUGGUGGUUGGAAAGUUUCGGCGGUUGGGGAUGGACUGGCUGCUUACCCGCUUGUUUGUGGGGUAGUGGCUUACCAAGCUUUUGACGGCUAGCCGGCAUGAGAGGGUUACCGGCCACAUUGGGACUGAGAUACGGACCAGACGCCUACGGGAGGCAGCAGUGGGGAAUAUUGCACAAUGGGCGGAAGCCUGAUGCAGCAACGCCGCGUGCGGGAUGACGGCCUUCGGGUUGUAAACCGCUUUCGCAGGUGACGAAGCGUGAGUGACGGUAAUGGGUAAAGAAGCACCGGCUAACUACGUG
Molecule: ribosomal RNA, 468 nt
Filed under: uncultured bacterium
Lineage: Bacteria
Description: partial 16S ribosomal RNA
Rfam family: Bacterial small subunit ribosomal RNA
Source: RNAcentral